RNAcentral lists this long non-coding RNA (2113 nucleotides) under Mus musculus (house mouse). RNAcentral's name for it is "zinc finger protein 783". Lineage: Eukaryota; Metazoa; Chordata; Mammalia; Rodentia; Muridae. The record is from RNAcentral.
GGCUGCAGGGGGCGCCGUGCGCGCCGGGCCGCGGCUCCGGUAGAUUAGGGCCAGCAGGGCACGUGGCUUGGGACCGUGUGGAGAGUGCGGGCGCUGGACAGCAGCUCCGGCCCCUCACCGACGCGCAGCCCGCGCCUGGGCCGACCUGUUGACUGAAAAUCAGCCGGCGCUUGGCCAGAUGCGUCGAUGGAGGCCCGCAGCCCAGCGACGACGUGGUAGUCAUGGCUGAAGCGGCGCCUGCCCCGCCAAAUGCAGAGAAGAGCUCAUACCUCUAUUCCAUAGAAAUCACACUGUGGACCGUGGUGCCUGCUGUUCAGGCCUUGGAGAAGAAAAGUGGAUUCUUGCCUGGCCCGCUUGCUGACUCUGGAGGGAUGCUCAGGGACAGCAGAGAAGAAGCUGGCUGACUGUGAGAAGACAGCUGUGGAGUUCAGCAGCCAGCUGGAGGGCAAGUUGGCCGUGCUGGGGACCCUGCCUCAGGAGUCUAGGCUGCUGCAUGAAGAACCUCAUGGGCAACUGGAACUUCUGGGUCCAGCGGCUUCCCCCUGGCAACAAGGGGGAGGUCCCCAAGGUGCCCCUGACCUUUGAUGACAUGGCUGUAUAUUUCUCUGAAUUAGAGUGGGCCAAGCUGGAGGACUGGCAGAAGAGGCUCGACAAGCAUGUGAUGGGGGCAGCUAUGAGAUGCUCGUUUCCCUGGAUUAUGCCAUCUCCAAACCGGUCAUUCUCACCCAGAUAGAGAGGGGAGAAGAGCCUUGUCCUGCAGGCCCCUGGGGCCAGGAGAAGGGGGGUGAGGAGAAGACAAUAUGUCAAAGGAAACCAAACACCAGUAUUUCUCUGAGUCCAGAGCAGGCCCCAAGUCCAGCUAGCCCUGCCCAGGAGGAACUGAAUCAAAGGCAGACACCUGAGCAGCAGCAAGAGGAAGCAACCAUGAUUCCACCUGAGCCAGGCACUGGGAUUCCAGCAAGCACCAGCCCUUUAUCACUUAAACAGGAGGAAGAAUCUGCAGAGGGAGGAGAGUUGCCACCCUCCCCUUCCACAGAUAGCCUGCUUUCUGUGGAGCCAGGGAAGUCCAGCCCUGCAAGGGCCCAGCUCUGAACAGGACAGGACCUGCACUGUCUCAGGGCCUUUCCCUUGUGCCUGCCAAGUGGUGGAAGUUCCUUCACUUUCCAGCUGAGUUGGUACUUUAGGGGCCCUUCAAAAGCACAAGCUCCAGACCAGGAAUUUGAGGUGAUAGUGUCAUGCCUCAAAGUCAUGAGAGCGGGUGCUUCAUGUGCCUCUUUGUCACAGCACCUUGGGGACAGCCUUGUGGAGCUUCUGGAGCUGGGUGAUGGAUUCCAAUUCUGAUAGUUUGCUCUCUUGUUUGGCACUCAGACACCAGAGCACAUGAAGGCUCCCAGGUGCCUUCAUCCCUGGCUGUGCUAUUGCUAAAGUCCUGCAGACUCUGUAGCCACUCAGAAGUCCUGCACAGACGAGGCAGAGGGUGACACUGCCGUCAUUCCCAGGGUAGGGGUAUGACUGGCAAGACUGUGGCAUGCAGCCAUGGUUCUGGACGUUACUUGCCUGCACACCCAACCGUUGUUUAGGCCCUGCAAGCAAGACAGCAGUUGUCAGUAAGCGCUCAGACUGAACGUGGACAGUAUAGCUGCCCCAAACUUAAUCCUCCGCUGCAAGCACUCAUGUUGCUGUUCUGGGGGUUCCUAGGCCUCUCUUCUAAUGCUUUAGAUGUUCUCUGGAAAACAAGUAUUCAUAUUUGAAGCACAAAUCCAAGUGCUGGGGUGGGGGAAGAGGCGCUGUAUAAUCCUGGCUCGCCUUGGGCUUGCAGUGAAUUUUUUUCCCCUACCUCUAUCUACCUACUAGGAUUUCCUUGCUUGUGCCAUUAUGCACAACUGGGCUUACUGCAUUUAACCUGAAAUUCAAUAGGACAGGUUAAAGAGUAUUUUGAGUUAAGAAUGAACAAAGGCUGCAUGGUUGCCUGAGCUCAAAGACGUUGGAUCCCAGAUUCUGAUGACUUAUUUUGUAAAACAAAGAUAUGGUUGGGUUGGUUACAAGGCCCUAAGAACCAUGGAGGUGGAAAUAUUAACUUAAUCGGUGCUCUAUAAAUACACUGGAAAAUGUA